AGUGAACGCUGGCGGUAGGCCUAACACAUGCAAGUCGAACGGCAGCACAGUAAGAGCUUGCUCUUACGGGUGGCGAGUGGCGGACGGGUGAGGAAUACAUCGGAAUCUACUUUUUCGUGGGGGAUAACGUAGGGAAACUUACGCUAAUACCGCAUACGACCUACGGGUGAAAGCAGGGGAUCUUCGGACCUUGCGCGAUUGAAUGAGCCGAUGUCGGAUUAGCUAGUUGGCGGGGUAAAGGCCCACCAAGGCGACGAUCCGUAGCUGGUCUGAGAGGAUGAUCAGCCACACUGGAACUGAGACACGGUCCAGACUCCUACGGGAGGCAGCAGUGGGGAAUAUUGGACCCUGGGCGCAAGCCUGAUCCCGCCCUCCCGCGUGGGUGAAGAAGGCCUUCGGGUUGUAAAGCCCUUUUGUUGGGAAAGAAAAGCAGCAGGUUAAUACCCCGCUGUUCUGACGGUACCCCAAGAAUAAGCACCGGCUCACUUCGUG
This 492-nucleotide ribosomal RNA is filed under the name uncultured bacterium. RNAcentral's name for it is "partial 16S ribosomal RNA". It matches the Rfam family "Bacterial small subunit ribosomal RNA", at positions 29 to 507 of the family's 1533-position model. The record is from RNAcentral.